CUUAAUUAUGGGCGAUUUGAUACGAUCAUGGAUUGGUCAUUGGUUAGGAGCCGUAACCUGAUUCGGAGAACGAUUGCAUGAAGGUGGUGCAAGGCACUAAGUUGAUUUUAAGGUACACACAAUUUAUUAUUUUAUAACACUAGAGCUGUAAUCAUUCAUUGUUAACCUUGUAUUAGUCCGUACUUAUUCUCAAACCGAAACUAUUUUCCAACGGCCCAAGCAGUCAAGCUUUCGUUUUGUGCAGAAUUGGAAGCGCUUUGGUGAUCGGAGUUUUGGAUUGUGAGGGCUCUCUUGUUAAUAUUUGGAGUUCUUGCUGUUUGAGGAGGAUAAAUGCAGAUGAGCUGGUACUGUCUUGUGGUUAUGUUUAACCUUGGUUCUAAGCUCUAAAGAACUGUUUAGUGAGGUCUCUUGAAUGGGUUAAGUUGGUCCUUUUUAUUAAUUUAUCUUGUUG
This 451-nucleotide long non-coding RNA is filed under the name Panax ginseng (ginseng). Its description in RNAcentral is "long non-coding RNA (PGIN_LNC011289)". Lineage: Eukaryota; Viridiplantae; Streptophyta; Magnoliopsida; Apiales; Araliaceae. The record is from RNAcentral.